UGGUAAUGAUUACGUUUAAUUAGUGCUUCUGAGUUUUUUUUCAAUGAAGCAUAAAUAAAAAAGUAUUGAUUGAAUUUCUUGAUAUAAGCUA
Small nucleolar RNA from Arachis stenosperma, 91 nucleotides. The record is from RefSeq and is a predicted model, not a curated record. Lineage: Eukaryota; Viridiplantae; Streptophyta; Magnoliopsida; Fabales; Fabaceae.